UUAAGAUGCUGAUUGUAGCUUAGUUCUCCCGAGAUGUGGGUGAUGAAAAAAAAAAAAUUACAAGUUAUGGGAAACAAUAAGCAAGCAUAUCCAAAAGUUUUUAAGUCCAGCCUAUUCCCUUCCUGUGGUUCUGUAGCCAUUAAUAAUUCUGGACCUGUUUCAACAUUUUUUCCAUUCAUCUGUUUAUUGAGCUUAUAUGGCAAGGAACCUCAGCAUUUGUGCUUUUCACUAAGCUUUUUCAUCAUGGAUAUUCUUGGACUCAAUAUUAGAUAACAUAUUGAAUAUUCUUUGUCCUCUUGGCUUUUGAUUAAGAUGUUGGAUAGAUCUUAUUCAAGAAAUGGUGUGCCAUACAGAUUUGAAAGCCAUCUCGAAGAGUUCGAGAUGUUGAGUAUUGAUUACUAAUCAACUACUAGCCUGGGAGAUAAAAGCCAAAGCUGUAAACAGACAGGCCAGCUUAACAAGUGCACAUUCUCUGCUGCCAACAGUACCAAUUUUUCAUCCAAGCAACUAAUAUUCCUUGGUAAUCUGCUAUCAGAUAAGUUAUCUCUUUGUCAUUUUUAUGAAUUAAAGCUUUCAAGGCCAAAGUAAGACUUAAUUUUAUCUUUUCUUUAACUGCUAAUUCUAAAAUAAUUUAUCAUUGCAUGUUAAAAAAUAAAUAACUUGUUAUACAUUUUUCUGUGUUUUGGUCAAGCUUCAGAUUUGCUUAGCAACAAAUGUUUGAUGGUCUGUCUGGUUCAUCUCUUAACACUGAAGAUGGCUACACUUAUCUGAGGUCUCCAUAUUUCAGAAACUUAACAAGCAAACAAUUGGUCAUCCUAUCCAAGCAACUAAUAUUCCUAGUUAAUCUGCUUUCAUAUUAUUAGUUUUCUCUUUGGCAUUUUUAUGAAUUAAAUCUUUCAAAGCCAAACCUUAGAUUUGGUGAGCAUAACCCUGAACUGCAUAUCAACAAAUGUCUGAUGGUCUGUCUGAACUCUAUGAAGAUGGGCUACACGGGUAUCAGCUAUCAGCAGUGCACCCCUAUGAUGUACAAGUUUUCAUUGCCAAGUCUAUCUGCCAAACAGUGUGUACACCUUUCUUGCAUUGGUAGGGACCCACUUUACUGUACUUCAAUGUCAGGAGUCUGGAUAUGUCAGGCCAAGGAGAUCAAGUUUGUGUCCAAGGUUACUUAAGUAAUUCUCUAAGAACAAUAGACAGACUCUACAUGUUACUGAUCUGGAGGUUAGUGGCUCAAUCAUUGUGCACUGAUUCUUCACUGAUGCCUUGAUUCUCCACUGUCACCUUUAUUGUCAUAAAGUUUAUCUAGUGAUCUACAUAUCAAGACUAAAUGGUCAAUUAAACAUGAGGUCAAGGAAAAAGGAUGAACAUUUCAAAGCUACAGAAGGAACAUUAAACGUCUCUCUCAGUGUAAAAAAGAUUCUACCGAUCUACAAAUGAUCAACAUGUUUUAUCUUAAGUUCAUCUGCCAUUUCUUCAAAUGGAGCCAUAGUCAGAAUAAGUCAUUUCAGUUGUAUAUUAUUUUGUGCAACAAGUUACCAGAAAAACAUCAAGCAAGAGAGGUCACUACACUAAGACUUUGUCUUCUCAUAAGAAUGGAUGGCUGCCUGGUCAUGUGGUAUGUGCGCUGGACUGUUGUGGGGUCAUCUUGAUGCUCAUAUCUUGCCUGAUACCAUUUAUUCUGCUGGACGUUUGGUCAAGGAAGUAGCUUCUCUUCAACUCUCAAGGAACAAUCAAAACAUGUCAAACAUUUGACAAGAAUAUCAAGCAAGUGCAGUGUACAUACCAACAUGAUGAAAAGGUAGACCAACAUGAAGAUGUAGACCAGCAUGAUGAAGAUGUAGACCAACAUGAUGAAGAUGUAGACCAGCAUGAUGAAAAGGUAGACAACAUGAAGAUGUAGACCUGCAUGAUGAACAUGGACCGACAUGAAGAUGAAAUGUAAACCAAAAUAUUGAUCAAGAAUAGGGAAUAAAAUGUGAACAUCUUGAGAGGGAAAACAAUUCCUAGAGGUGAAGACACAGACACAGUAGAUACAUUAGAGAUUGUUUCCUUUUCUACCAUCAUUUAGAGCCUUCCUUGUGCUCUAAGGGAACCUGCCAUUAUCUUUUGAUUGCUGGGUGUUGAAGAUGUUUUUACAUUCCUACUGCGUCUGAAAGAAAUGAACAUUACCCUAAUGCUACAUCAAAUUCAGACCUUCUCAAGACAAUCUUAGUGAUCAAGCUGCAAUACAGGACACAGUAGGAAACAAGAAUCCUCCCCACCUUUACAUAAGAUUUUUACCAAAUUAUUAAAUUCUUACUACCUUUACUAUUUUAACUGUGAAUAGACCUUGUUUUUAAUGAUUUAACUGUAUAGAAUUUAGCCCUUGUUAUGUAAAGGGAGAGUGAUCCUUAAAGGAUUACGGGCACGACAUGGCCUAAAUUGUUCCAAUGUGCCUAAACUCAAAACUCAAACUCGAGUACCCAUGCUCACCUACUAGAGUGGCGACACAUACUUCUCCUAGUUAUACAUCCUGAACCCUGUAACCCAACCUCACGACAUGGUUACAUUACUAGAAAUGGUCCUGAAGCUAGGAAAACUAUCAUUUCUAAUACGAGGUACAACUGGUCAAGUGAUGUACUUUGUAAGAACUAAUUAGUUGGAAUUACCAUAAUUGACUUGUAUCUUGUUCUAUAUUUAGGUAUAUCUUGACAAUCAAUCCAGUCAUUUGUUCAUUUUUUGUUAAAUAUUCCUUUUUUUCCCCCUCAAUCUUCUUGUUUCAGUUCGAAAUGUUUUUAUAUUUUUUGUUUUUGGAGGAGGGAAGUUCAAAUGGUAGAGUAUCAUUAUUAUUAUUGUAUUAAGCAAACUUGUAUAUGUAUGUUUAUUCAUGUAUACUAAUGAAGAACAUCACUUCUGGGUCAUCUACCGAAAAUGUUGUAAACACUAAACAUGUCUUCAGUUAACCUUGGAUAUUCUAUAGAGUCACAACACCAAAGCCUUGCUACAUUAUGCUUAAUUCAAUUUAUUUUCUCCCCUGCUUUUGUGUGCUAUCAUAUUAAUGUUCAUUAGUGUCACAUCCAUGCACAAUUUGUUCUAUGCUCUAUAUAGUGUAAAUAGUGACUUGACGUUAUUCAGCUCCACUAAAAUAUUGUUUAAUUAUUAUAUUUAAAAUAAAACUGAUAACAUUUACUAUGCUGUUAUUAAUAUGAAAGCUUUGCUGUGUUGCUAUAAAUGCAGUUUUGAGGUUUAGUCUAAGGGUAUCAUAGAUGAGAAAUGUAGUUACACUCACCUUCACAGUUAAAAAUAAAACGUUCCAUAAAGAUUAUUAUUAUUAUUAUUAAAUAAAGAGUCUAAUAAUAUUUACUAUUUGGUAUCGACAGACUUCACUCAAGCAUUGAGCUCAUCCCCUUAGUCUAUUUAAAACUUUACAAUACUAAUUCACUUUGUCUUAUCUAAUGGUGAUCAUAAGGUAUCCACUUUGUCAUCUCCAGUCUCUGGUGUGAACACUCACUGUCCUGUUGGAGGUUAGGGCUAGGAUGUAAUCUCUAUUUCUGAUGGAACACAUGUAAAACCAACAGUAGACCUAGACUUUAUUAACAGGUCAUGCAAACAUUUUUUCUUAUCUGGCUCUCCCAGAGCUAUUUUUUUGUAUUUUUUUUUUUACUACUUUUGUAGCCUAGUGCUAAGCUGUAUACUUGUACUUCCCCCUAUUAUUAUAUGGGUUAGUGCAAUGCUGUUUCCUGUACUGUUGACCAGUGGUCUGUAUGUCAGUUUUAAUUAUUCUGUACCUGGGACUGCCUGUAAGUUUCAGAAUUAUUUUUCUUUUUUUAAAUUUUACUAUGUGUAAAUCUAUUAUUUAAUUUUUUAGCAAUAUAUGUUACAUUAUUUUUUCUAAUUGGAACAAAUGUCAAAAUAAUUGACAACAUGUUUUUAAAAAUAUGGCCAAGCCCUGCCCCGUGCUGUCAUAAUGGCCACUUCUAAUGUUUAUGUACUAGAUCUUGUCCUUAUGUUUUUUUUUUUAGCUGCAGUGUUUUGUAACUGCUGCUUUAGUCAUUUGAAAUUAAAGUCUCAUUUUUUUAUA
Long non-coding RNA from Biomphalaria glabrata, 4057 nucleotides. RefSeq lists it as uncharacterized. The transcript is spliced from 12 exons. The record is from RefSeq and is a predicted model, not a curated record. NCBI's taxonomy places the organism in Eukaryota, Metazoa, Mollusca, Gastropoda, Planorbidae.